Molecule: transfer RNA, 69 nt
Filed under: Sipunculus nudus (marine worm)
Lineage: Eukaryota; Metazoa; Annelida; Sipuncula; Golfingiida; Sipunculidae
Description: tRNA-Gln
Rfam family: tRNA
About the family: Transfer RNA (tRNA) molecules are approximately 80 nucleotides in length. Their secondary structure includes four short double-helical elements and three loops (D, anti-codon, and T loops). Further hydrogen bonds mediate the characteristic L-shaped molecular structure. tRNAs have two regions of fundamental functional importance: the anti-codon, which is responsible for specific mRNA codon recognition, and the 3' end, to which the tRNAs corresponding amino acid is attached (by aminoacyl-tRNA synthetases). tRNAs cope with the degeneracy of the genetic code in two manners: having more than one tRNA (with a specific anti-codon) for a particular amino acid; and 'wobble' base-pairing, i.e. permitting non-standard base-pairing at the 3rd anti-codon position.
Source: RNAcentral
UGCGUAAUAGUGUAUGCAGCACACGGGCCUUUGACUCCCGAAGAAAGGGUUAGACUCCCUAUUACACAA